This 465-nucleotide ribosomal RNA is filed under the name uncultured bacterium. RNAcentral describes it as "partial 16S ribosomal RNA". It matches the Rfam family "Bacterial small subunit ribosomal RNA", at positions 338 to 795 of the family's 1533-position model. The record is from RNAcentral.
CCUACGGGGGGCAGCAGUAGGGAAUAUUUCACAAUGGGCGAAAGCCUGAUGGAGCAAUGCCGCGUGAAGGAUGAAGGUCUUAUAGAUUGUAAAAUUCUUUUAUCUGGGAAGAAAAACUCAAGUAGGAAAUGACUUUAGUCUGCCUGUACCAUUUGAAUAAGUAUCGGCUAAUUAUGUGCCAGCGGCCGCGGUAAUACGUAGGAUGCAAGCGUUAUCUGGAUUUACUGGGGGAAAAACGGGCGCAGGCGGGUUUACAAGUUAGGUGUGAAAGGCUUGUGCUAAACGAAAGAUUGUAUCAGAAACUGUCAAUCUAGAGUGGAGUAGAGGGUAGUGGAAUUCCAUGUGGAGCGGUGAAAUGCGUAGAUAUAUGGAAGAACACCAGUGGCGAAGGCGAGAACUUGGGCUAUCACUGACGCUUAGGCUCGAAAGUGUGGGGAGCAAAUAGGAUUAGAUACCCCAGUAGUC